UUCAAUUUUCUAAUCAUUAAUCACCUCAGUUAACAUUGCAGGUGAAAGAAGUGCUAGAGUGUUAAUAAUUUCAAUCUGCCAGUGGUAUAUGAAUGCUUUCGUUCAUCAUCACUUGGUGAUUCUCCAAAUAGCUUUGAAGGCUUUUAGUUGUAUGAUGACAUGUGAAAUUACAAUAUUAGUUGGCGCAUCUGGUGCACUUAGUGUACUAUUGGGAGCCAUGGUUUCUAAGCUUUUCACUAAUUGGAAAAUCUAAGCAAAUAAGCACUUGUAACUCUCGUGCUCAUUAUAGCCAUAAAUUUGCCCCUUGGAUUUCUACCACAUGUGGACAAUUCAGCUCAUAUUGAAGGAUUCUUGUCAGGAUUUCCAACUGGCUUGGAUGUGUAAGCCACAAAUAAAUUCCUUCAGUAUAGGAAAUAAAGCAGAAAUCCAAGCACAAGUGUUAUCAAUUCCUUUAUAGGAUUACAGCUUUAGUCCUUUUAGUUCUUGGUUUUGUCAUCCUCGAAGAAAUUGGCAGAUAUGCAUAUGGAUGCAUUGAGCUAUUUAAUGGUCAGAAGCCAUAUAGCCAUAUGGUCUAGCUUUCUGGAGCAUCAAUCAACAGAAUGAUUAUGUCAGUUUUUUUGCCUAUUCUUCAAGCUUUACAUGUAUAACAAAACUAUUAUUGUAUGUAUGC
Molecule: long non-coding RNA, 670 nt
Organism: Quercus lobata
Lineage: Eukaryota; Viridiplantae; Streptophyta; Magnoliopsida; Fagales; Fagaceae
Exons: 3
Source: RefSeq, a predicted model, not a curated record